GGAAAAUACUGUGUGUUGAGCACCUGUGUAGUGCGCGAAUUAAAGGCCUCAUCCUUCUGGAACUUAAAUUUUAAUGAAGCCAUGUGGGCAAUAAAUGUGUGAGAGAGAGAAUGUGACCUGAGUCCAUGGCUAUGACUCCUCCCUCAUCUUUCUGAAGCUCAACCUUGAAUGCUUACAGGACCACUGAAAAAAGAAUCUCUAGGCUCCCCCAAGAGCUCAUUUCCAUCAACAGCUCUGGAAGUGGGUCAUGUUACGUACAAAAAUAAAGACAGCAAGGAGAGCUCAGACGGUGGAACCAGACUGCUUGGGACUGAAAUCGGCAUUCGCCACUUACCAGGGCUCAAUGCUUACUAUUCUGGAGUUCAUUACUAAGCUGUCCCACAAGUGAUUCUGAUUCCCAUCUUAUUCACUCUUUCAACAAGUAUUUACUGAGAGCCUACUAUAAAUCAAGCACAGGUCAAUGCAAACCUUCUGGCUAUAAAAUACCUUUAAGUAAGAGAUCUCAUUUGGAUCAACUAAACACAUUGAAUAGAGCUACUUAACUUCCUUCCAAAUGCUGUCCUGUAACAAAUGUUCUCCAGACUGCUGCCAUGUUAACAACCUUCUAAGCAAGAACUCGUUUAAGUCUCUUCUGCCUCUUUACCAUUUUCUGGGCAAGAUUAUAUAUGAAGAGACAUAACAGCUUGGGGGUGAAGUCAAAAGAAUGCAGCCAUGUACUGAUCACAGACUGGUUGGAUUAAUGUCACAUCAUCUCUAAAAGUAGAUUUUUAUCAAUCUAAGGCUGAGCAACCCUCUACUUAUCUUGUUUCUUUAUAGUAUCUGAGCAACUAAGAAGUUUUGUAAAUACUGUCUGACAUAUGUAUAUUAUACAAUAAGAUAUUAUUAACUUUAAAAAGGAGUUAACAGGUAACUUUAAAAUGGCUAAUCAGAAUAUACAUUAAAGCCAUCAUAUG
Long non-coding RNA from Gorilla gorilla gorilla (western lowland gorilla), 953 nucleotides. RefSeq lists it as uncharacterized. The record is from RefSeq and is a predicted model, not a curated record. The transcript has 5 exons. NCBI's taxonomy places the organism in Eukaryota, Metazoa, Chordata, Mammalia, Primates, Hominidae.